UAUUGAUCUUACUGAAGCUGACUGUGAAACCCCAUUUGGGGACAGCAUUUGGUGCUCAGUGCAGGGGUGUCUCCAGCCUCAGGACCCCCUGGAUUUCUGAUUUCUGCCUCCUUUCCGUGGCUCUCAUUCCCCUUUGGUCCUCAUGUUCUGACCCCCCCCUUGUCCUGUGGUGGGACAGCUUGCAGGAUUACCAGAUCCUCAGUCUUGGAGGAAAAAAAAAAGGAAAAAAAAAGUGGAAGAGAGAACAUUUACUCAGGUAGCAAAGGACUAUUAUGGGCUGGAAAUGUUCUCUGCCACCCUGGCCUGGUGCCAGCGGGACAGUGACAGACAGUCGCACAGCUUGCCAGCCGCCGAGCUGCCACGUUUCCAGGCUCGGGGACUCCUCCAGGGUGAAGGAGGUGCAUGCAAAGUGGUGCUUGCUGAUGAACCUGGUACCGGGUCACCUUGAGAUGGGGAUUCUCAGCUGGGCUCAGCUGCGGGCAGUGCUCCUAGAGAAACCUCUGAGCUGCCUUCAGACCAUCCUGUCCGCUGCCAUCCCGUGCCUCUGGAAAUGAGAUCCCGCUGCUCACGUCAGGUUUCCCCCAGGAGCCACGUUGCUGCCUGCUCUGGGUCUCAGAUUCAGCCAGAGAGAAAUGGAGAGUUUCUAACCAGGCAGAAGCCUGUUGGAAAAGAAUGGAAAUAAUUCUUUAUUUCUCUUGUUGUUUGCAUUGUUUGUAGUUAAGUUUUAUCAUUUUGCGUCAAGCACUCUGCACCAGCAGUGUAGGUUGUUUUCACUUUAGGAUCAAUGGAGUUGGUCUGCAUGAAACUCUAUGUAAAGAGCAGUGGAUUUUGAAUAAAAUCGGAGUUUUACUCUCAAGAACCUUUGGAGUCAGAGUCUUUUCGUUCCCGUCCUGCCCCAACAGUGUGAGCCUGCCCUGGCUCCCUGGGGCAGCAGGGCUGGGCUGCCCUGGCUGCCUCCUCCCUCCCCUUCUCCCCUUCCCCUCCCCGCUGUGCUGCUUUCCUGGGCUGCAGAAAGAGGCAGGAUUUCAUGGCAUGCUGGCAGCGUGCAAACAGCUCUGGGGAAAUAAGUUAUGGUUUCAUUUUCAUGGGGUGGCUCCCUCUUCAUGGCAAAGGAAUACUUCUGGUUUAGCUCGAGCAGUAACAGCACAACUGACACGUUUCUUUUUUCAGGAAAGAAGUGAGGAGGACACAGAGAAAUCCUUCCUUUGCCUCCUCGGUUUUUUUAGUGACUGUUUCUACUGUGGCAGUACCAAAAGUGCUGCGUAAAGUGACAGGAGGACUGUUACAGGCUGCGGCAGGCUCAGGAACCAGUUAUUUCAUGUCCUCUCUUUAGAGGUGAGCGCUAAUCUUACCCUUUCCUUUAAGAGGCUGUAACACAAGAAGACACUUAUUUGUACCUGCUGUCAUCUGCCUCUUCCUUUCGGUAUUAUUUUAAGUGAGCCUUGAAAGAGCAGGGCUGGAAAGAGCCCCCAGCUGCCUGCUGGCACUGCGCAGUGAGGCUCCCGUUUGUCCUCACAGGCUCAGAUUCCCCAGAUCCAACAGCUUCUCCCUCCCUCCACAAGGAGGAUCCUCACCUGGGAGGCACCACAGCCUCUAAGACAUUUUAUAAUAGUUUUCAUUAUUACAUUUUUCAUUAUUAAAUGAAAAUAUUAUUUAUUUUAUAAAUAUGAUAUAUUUCUAAAUAAUAUCAUAAAUAUUAUAUAUUAAAUAAAC
RNAcentral lists this long non-coding RNA (1713 nucleotides) under Taeniopygia guttata (zebra finch). Its description in RNAcentral is "lncRNA (ENSTGUG00000026953.1)". The record is from RNAcentral. Lineage: Eukaryota; Metazoa; Chordata; Aves; Passeriformes; Estrildidae.